UUCAUUUUACUUCUCUUUAUGGGGAUCUAUUUUGGAAUGCUAAAUAAGUUACCAAAUAACUUUCCUAACAAGCACUUUAAAAUAGAAAACAUACUCAAUACGCUAAUAUCUAAUCAAGUUACUAUUAUUCAUUUCCCAUUUGUAAACUAUUCCUUGGAUUUCAACUUCCAGAAUAUAAUUCCUAGUGUUUUAGAGAAGUUCCUUGGGAGAUGCUUCAAAAUGAGCAUGUUGUUUUGGAGCAUAAAUACAUUUACAAAUUUAUAGAAAAUGUAAAUCUGCUUAGCUUUUAACCAUCCUUAUUAAUUAAGAAGCACAAUGGUAAUGCUUGAUCAAUCAUGACUCAUUUUGAAAAUGUUACCCUACAUUUUUCUAGCAUAUAUUUCCACAGUUUUCAGUCCAUAUCAUGGUAUCGCUCUUUUGUGAGCAAACAUUAUUAACAAAAAUUUCUUAACUUAAACCAACAACUACAAAUAUACAGUAAUUACCAAAGGUCCCCAGACUUUUGGUCAACUGGGGAAGGAUAGAAGCCAGAGGAAAGAAUAUUUUAAGGGCAAAUCCUUAGGCAAGUAGUGACAAAAUCCUUGUCCUUGAAGCUUAUAUAAAUAACUUUCCAGUGUUUUUUUAAUCUUUUCUCUCCCCUCCUCAGUCCCCUCAGCAAUGAGGCAUGUCACUCCACUCGUUCACAUCCAUCUUUUUUUAUUGAUGUCCACUUUGGUGUCUGUACAGGUCAUCAAUUUUGCUGCCUCUUAGGCAGCCAGUGGGAAUGUACAAGUUAAGUACUGGACUUUGUGUGUCGAGCUUGAGGAGGAGGGAAAGGGAGGAAGUGUCAGCUUUCUUUAGCACUAACAGUCCCAAUCAGAUACUGGCACUGGGCCUCAUAAAUCUUGUGGCUGACCCAGGUGAACCCUGAGGCUCAGCGCUCACUGAAAACUGAUCAGGCCUCUGCUUAGUUUAACGGGCCGUUCUCAGUGACAAGUGAAGGGUUCAACAAAUGCACAAAACAGAUAUAUAUUAGUUGAAAAACUAAUGGCUUUUAAAAGAAUGUUUGACAAUUGUUUAAGGCUGUCUGUAGAUCCAUUAUACUGAUAAACGACCGACUUGGUGUAUACUAAAGUGGAGCUGGUUAGGAGGACACCAACCUAAAGUUUGUUUUUUUAUUCUCUUCCCCUGCCACCUCACCCCUUUGGUCAUCUGGCUGUGGACUCCAUGAGCAGCACAUUUAGAAAACCUAGGAAAAUACCUAUGCCGUGUACAUUUAACCUUGCAGCCCAAGUGGAAUAAAAAGGACUCUGAGACUGCCCUCAGUGACCUGCAAUUGACCGCUUGAACUUCUAAGUUAGGGUCAGUUGGGGCCCAGAAUAAGAGGUCAAAAACUGGUCAGCUUUCCCUAGUCCUAACAUGCUGAAUAGGAAGACUUUAUUGCUGUGAUUUAUGCAAUUUGCCGAGACAGGUUAAGGAGAACUUAAAACCCACCAUAGGGCUCACUUGCAUGGGGACACCCUCCUCUUGGAAAAUAAAUUCUGAUUGUCCAGCUGGAAAUCUCUUAGGGAUACGCCUUGAAGUAUUUUACUCUCUGUGUCUACAGAUUCAUUCCCACACUCGACCCCUGAACGUGACAGGGUUAGUGUUUCCAGAUUUAUUUAAACAAUACAAAUGCACCAAAUGAAGCACUUUCAAACCUGAUUAAUUGAGAAGACAGAAUAACCAUCAGUAAUGAAUUAUUUGGGGGAGCAGUAAACUCCUACAAAAGUUACCUCUUAAAUCAGUUGCCUCAGAGGUCCAACCACAAUAAAAGCUACAAUAUUUAAAUCUUUCUGGAUAAAAGGAUUUGGUAUUUGUCUUUGAAGCUUGGUUCUUGUGAACCGUAUCAAGGCUUUUUUUUGGAUAAUGUUAAAUGAAAAUUAUUCUGCUAUUAUUGAAGAGUAAAUUUUAGAGCUCUUACAAGUAAGUUUCUGGUCCUAGUCUGUGUAUAAUAAAGUUAGAAACAUAUCAACACUCAUGAUUUCUGCUUUUACAGAAAUGUGCAAUAUGUAGCUGCCAUUCGUUGUUCAACGUCCAUGCUUGUAGCAAACCAGCAAUAUGGCAUUUGUGACACAAAUCAUGAUAUGGGCAUGAAUGUCAGUUUUACAUAGGUGGAAAGAAAGAAUUGAACCCAGGUCUUUCACAGAUAAAAAGCAACUUGGUGCUAUAAACCUUUAAGCUAUCUUUCUAGCUUUUUCACAGGGCAUUUAUUGCUUCUGGAUGCAUUUGCCUCUGUAACUCAAAUUGGCUUUGAUUUAAUAAAUGCAAUUCACAAAAUGUUAGUCUGUAUGUGGUCUAAUUUCAUUAGCUAAAAGAGAAAAAGGUAAAACUGUGAAAACUAUUCACUUUGAAAAAUGGCUAGUGUAUAAUAUUCAGCAGCUAGUUUUCAUUAGGUUUUUAAAUUCACACUUUAAAAGAAAGGGUAUGCAUGCCACAAAUAUAUGUGUCUGUGUGGGAUUAGGACGAGGCAAUCCCACAUGGGUGCUCUAUCAGUGUGUCAGGUAAAUAACAGCCAAUCAAAUUAUGUGUAUAAUAAGCUUAUUUUGGACAAGCACAAAGGUUAUAAAUUAUUAAAUGUUAAGGAAAAAAAUUUUUGUUCAGAUAUUUAGCUGAUUGAUCUCAAGACCUCUCUAUUUUGUCAAUGUCACACUGAUCUUUCUUCACCCUCUUUAACAUCGCCCAGUGAAAUAUUUCUUUAAAACAGGACCUAGCUGUAAAAGUCGUAUUUCUAAUGGACUUAGGGAAACUUCUUAUAUAUUUCUUUGAAAAAUAAACAAGAUUCUCUCGUGUGGGAUGUGAAGAAGGAAAGGACCCUCCGUACUGGUGCACACCUUACUCUAAUGUUUUCCUGCCAGUUGUGGAAAGUGGGUCUCACCCAGGUUAGAGUUUUUAAAGAUAUGAAUGAGGCCUGUUGAGAGUCACCCAAGGAAAGUUAAGGAAAGGACUAGAAAACUUCAAGCAAGUCCUCUCUUUUCAGGUCAGAUUGUCAAAGCCCUUGUCUUCUCAGCAGCUCAAUUGACUUCUGCCAGUGGGUUCCCAUGCUUUAGUGUGGUUAAAAUGUUGUUUUCCUGCUGCAUUUAAUCUGUUGUAAAAAGGGUAUCUUCAUUCUUGAACAAUAAAAAUUAAAGCUAAUGUUCCCAGUUCACUGUAAAUAGCUUUUUGGAAACUCAGUUAAUUAAAUCUUCCAUUAUGAAGUAUUUUCUAUUACUAGAAGAAAUUAAAAGUAGACAGGGAGCACAGGGCAGCCAUUAAUGAGGUUGCUGAAGAUCCAAAGUGUUGCUGUAUUAUGAGAUUGGUUCCAGAGAAAGUCUGUGGUUAAGCAGAUCCCUAAAGAGAUGAAAGUUUGCUAUACCAAUGAUCACUUUUGAUCAAUAGGUAUUUUUGAAAGCUCUUGAAGCAUUCAAUGGGCAAUUUUAUCUUUAGCCCUCAGUACUAAGUGUUGAUUGACUUGUGAAUGACCUUGUUAAAUUGUAAACAGAUUAACACUGAAAACAUUUUAGUAAGUAAUAAAUUAAAAAUUUAGUAUUCUAUGAAGUACUGCCCUUUUAAGGCAGUUCAUUCCUUCCCAUUCUGCAUGGACUAAACCUUUUCAGCUUUUUGUGUUAUUUCUUAAGUCCAUGCCAACUCAGUCUGUGGGAUUUCCUCAUCACUUGUGUUCAAAACCAUUUCUAUAUUGAUGAAUAUUUGGGAGAGUUGAAUCCUUUCCAGUUGCUUUUCCUGCCAACUCUGCUGGGGUUUUCUCUCUUUGCGUUAAAAUUAAAAUAUAAAAAUAUCAUCUCAUUUUCUUAUCAUCACCAAUAAUUUUUACAAUCUUAAGAACAUUAACUUUAGGUAUUAUGGCCAAAUUUGAACUCAAAAAACAUGCUAUUUUUUUUUUUUCCAGAAUGCCAUCAAUAUAGUUUUACUGAAAGAAAGUAGUUGCCCUCUCAGUUUGCUGUGAGGCACUACUGGCAAUAAAUAAUUGACAGUUAUGUUCCAGAGCUGAGACUCAGCAAGUUGCUUACUUCUUUGCUUGGCAGUUGGCUUUAUUCAACAAGCUGCAGGUCACAAAUGGGGGCUGUGAGGAUUGUCUCUCUUGAUACCCUAAGAAUAAUUUCCUUGUGCAUUUCUCAGUUCUGCAGUUCUAAGAUCUUAUAGGUAACUUGUCUUGGAAAGCCUUUAUCUAACAAAGGAAUGAAUGCUUAAAUGGACAGGAGGCUAAUUUUGAGGUCCAUAAUG
Molecule: long non-coding RNA, 4239 nt
Filed under: Sus scrofa (pig)
Lineage: Eukaryota; Metazoa; Chordata; Mammalia; Artiodactyla; Suidae
Description: lncRNA (ENSSSCG00000054919.1)
Source: RNAcentral